UACGGAGGGGGCUAGCGUUGCUCGGAAUCACUGGGCGUAAAGCGCACGUAGGCGGCUUUCUAAGUCAGGGGUGAAAUCCUGGAGCUCAACUCCAGAACUGCCUUUGAUACUGGAGAGCUUGAGUUCGGGAGAGGUGAGUGGAACUGCGAGUGUAGAGGUGAAAUUCGUAGAUAUUCGCAAGAACACCAGUGGCGAAGGCGGCUCACUGGCCCGAUACUGACGCUGAGGUGCGAAAGCGUGGGGAGCAAACAGG
RNAcentral lists this ribosomal RNA (253 nucleotides) under uncultured bacterium. RNAcentral's name for it is "partial 16S ribosomal RNA". It matches the Rfam family "Bacterial small subunit ribosomal RNA", at positions 524 to 776 of the family's 1533-position model. The record is from RNAcentral.